Molecule: microRNA precursor, 63 nt
Organism: Astatotilapia calliptera (eastern happy)
Lineage: Eukaryota; Metazoa; Chordata; Actinopteri; Cichliformes; Cichlidae
Gene: MIR145
Product: microRNA 145
Source: Ensembl
GUCCAGUUUUCCCAGGAAUCCCUUGACCUAUCAGAAAGGGGGAUUCCUGGAAAUACUGUUCUU